This 482-nucleotide ribosomal RNA is filed under the name Streptococcus parasanguinis. Its description in RNAcentral is "bacterial SSU rRNA". It matches the Rfam family "Bacterial small subunit ribosomal RNA", at positions 28 to 493 of the family's 1533-position model. Lineage: Bacteria; Bacillati; Bacillota; Bacilli; Lactobacillales; Streptococcaceae. The record is from RNAcentral.
GAUGAACGCUGGCGGCGUGCCUAAUACAUGCAAGUAGAACGCUGAAGCUUGGUGCUUGCACCGAGCGGAUGAGUUGCGAACGGGUGAGUAACGCGUAGGUAACCUGCCUCUUAGCGGGGGAUAACUAUUGGAAACGAUAGCUAAUACCGCAUAAAAGUCGAUAUCGCAUGAUAUUGAUUUGAAAGGUGCAAUUGCAUCACUAAGAGAUGGACCUGCGUUGUAUUAGCUAGUUGGUGAGGUAACGGCUCACCAAGGCGACGAUACAUAGCCGACCUGAGAGGGUGAUCGGCCACACUGGGACUGAGACACGGCCCAGACUCCUACGGGGGGCAGCAGUAGGGAAUCUUCGGCAAUGGGGGCAACCCUGACCGAGCAACGCCGCGUGAGUGAAGAAGGUUUUCGGAUCGUAAAGCUCUGUUGUAAGAGAAGAACGAGUGUGAGAGUGGAAAGUUCACACUGUGACGGUAACUACCAGAAAGGAC